GUUAGUGCAAUGGCAUAAGCCAGCUUGACUGCGAGCGUGACGGCGCGAGCAGGUGCGAAAGCAGGUCAUAGUGAUCCGGUGGUUCUGAAUGGAAGGGCCAUCGCUCAACGGAUAAAAGGUACUCCGGGGAUAACAGGCUGAUACCGCCCAAGAGUUCAUAUCGACGGCGGUGUUUGGCACCUCGAUGUCGGCUCAUCACAUCCUGGGGCUGAAGUAGGUCCCAAGGGUAUGGCUGUUCGCCAUUUAAAGUGGUACGCGAGCUGGGUUUAGAACGUCGUGAGACAGUUCGGUCCCUAUCUGCCGUGGGCGCUGGAGAACUGAGGGGGGCUGCUCCUAGUACGAGAGGACCGGAGUGGACGCAUCACUGGUGUUCGGGUUGUCAUGCCAAUGGCACUGCCCGGUAGCUAAAUGCGGAAGAGAUAAGUGCUGAAAGCAUCUAAGCACGAAACUUGCCCCGAGAUGAGUUCUCCCUGACCCUUUAAGGGUCCUGAAGGAACGUUGAAGACGACGACGUUGAUAGGCCGGGUGUGUAAGCGCAGCGAUGCGUUGAGCUAACCGGUACUAAUGAACCGUGAGGCUUAACCUU
Molecule: ribosomal RNA, 586 nt
Filed under: Escherichia coli
Lineage: Bacteria; Pseudomonadati; Pseudomonadota; Gammaproteobacteria; Enterobacterales; Enterobacteriaceae
Description: partial 23S ribosomal RNA
Rfam family: Bacterial large subunit ribosomal RNA
Source: RNAcentral